This is a non-coding RNA of Salmo salar (Atlantic salmon), 2215 nucleotides long. Lineage: Eukaryota; Metazoa; Chordata; Actinopteri; Salmoniformes; Salmonidae. The record is from RefSeq and is a predicted model, not a curated record.
AAGAAGAAGAAUUAGUUCCGCCCCUGCAGGGAACAGGAAAUGGGGGGGGUGACUGGUUUUUGGUUGACGUGUCAUAUUCUACAACUUGUAUCAGCUAAAGUUUGUACAUACGAUACGAUGUAACUAACGUUCUACAACUACAAGAUAGCAACUCUGAACAGAAACUGCAUCAAUACUGAGAUUUGAAAGCACGUCUGACUAAACAAACUGAAGUAUACUGCUUCCUUCAGAGGCCAUUACAGAAUAUCGUGACAGGGUGGGAUUUCUUAAAGAAAAAGGCUUCCAAACAUUCUCUCCAAUAAGAUGAUUUAUCCUGUGUCAUCUUCAGGGAUUCCAUAGUCUUGUAGAGUAGCCACAUCCUCUGUAUAGACUGUCUGAAGGAAUUAUGGAGAUAAAAGGGCAUCUCGGGAAUGUCCCGUUUGUAGUAGAAGAUCCUCAAAGGCGGAACUCACAACUACAUUGAAGCCUUUACAGAUGAAGUUGAAGUUAAAGAAGUAAAACUAACCUGUGAUGAAACGGCAAAGUAAUUUAAGCUACAGGGCCAGGACACAGAGAGGCAGAUUGAGAAGGAGUUUGAGAAGCUUCACCAGUUACUUUGAGAGGACAAGGCAGCUAGAAUAGCUACUCUGAAGAAGGAAGAGAAGAAGAAUAGUGAGAUGAUUGAGGAGAUGAGCGGAGGGAUAUCGUCACUUUCAGACACACAGAGCCGUAGAGAAGGAGCUGAAAACAGAAGACAUCUCAUUCCUGCAUGCAAGAACCAAUAACUUGUUGAUAUUAUCUGAGAUACAUUUAUUGAUGAACUGAUUUGAUAUCAUGUAUUGCACUGUUUACAUUUAUUAUUAAUUUGGUAUUUUGUUCUUCUGCAGAACUAUAAGGCCACAGUGAAAAGAGUCCAGUGCACACUGACGAAUCCAGAGAAGGUUUCAGAACCACUGAUCCAUGUGGCCAAGCACCUUGGCAACCUACAUAGAUCAUGUGUGAAGAUACAGGAAAUUGUUAGAGGUUUUUCAAUAUAGUCUGACAGUCUACUUUCUGUCUAGCUGCUGUGACUCUGAACCCCAAGACUGCUCACCCAAGUGUCAUCCUAUCUGAGGAUUUGGCCAGUGUGAGAUUCGGUGUGGCUCAAAAGCUUCCUGACAUCACAGAGAGGUUUGAUUGUGCAUUUGUCCUGGAUUUUGAGGGCUUUAACUCAGGGACACACUUCUGGGAUGUUGAGGUUGGGGAAAACGCAUCAUGGGCUCUGGGUGUGAUCACAGAAUCUGUACAGAGGAAGGGGCGUAUAUGCAGUGGAUUAUAAUUCUGAAGGUGAAUACUCAGCAGAAUCCCCACCAAAGCCAACCAUUUCCCUCACAGUGAGACAGACACCCCAGAGGAUCAGAGUGAAGCUGGACUGGGACAGAGGAGAGCUGUCAUUCUCUGACCCUAUUAAUAAAAGACACCUACACACAAUCACACAAACUUUUAAUGAGACAGUCUUUCCUUGCUUUUGUAACUUCUCUAAACGGAAGCCUCUAAAGAUUGUGCCAUGACAGUGGAAAAAUAGUUAGAGCUGAUAAUGUUUCUUACCAUACAAUGUUGAAUCAACCACCUAGCUACUGCUUGAAAACAAGUUAAAAUAUUAUAGUGACUUGAUCGAUUUGAACUUAAUAUUAAAAAACGGACACCUAGUACUCUGCCCUGCGCCUUAAAGACAUAGUCAUUGAACACUAGUCACUAAUUAUGCUUACCUACUGUUUUACCCACUUCAUAUGUAUAUACUGUAUUCUAGUUAAGGCUCAUCCUAUAUAACUACUGCUGUACACACCUUUUCUAUUCAUAUACUGACUAUACACACCAUUAUUUUUUAUAUAUAUGUAUUGCGGACUCUGACAUUGCUCAUUCUGAUAUUGCUUAAGUUUUUGGGGGGGUGGGAUUUGUGUUUAUUGUAAGGUAUUAAUGCAUUGUUGGAGCUAGAAACAUAAGCAUUUUCCUGCACCUGCGAUAACAUCUGCAAAAUAUGUGUACGCCACCUAUAACAUUUGAUUUGAUUUAGUCUAAGCUUAGUGGAGGAUAACCAUGUUAUUUAUUUGUCUUAGAUAUGUUUGAUUUGUUAAUCAUUAGCUCUUAUUCUCUUAAGAAUACAGUUAUGUACAUGACUGCUGAUCAAUUACAUAUACAUACAAAGCCAUAAUGUAACUGUCAUUCCUUAUUCUAUGAUUAAAACAAAUACAUGCUA